UGGGGAAUUUUAUACAAUGGGCGCAAGCCUGAUGUAGCAACGCCGCGUGGAGGAUGAAGGAUUUAGGUCUGUAAACUCCUUUUAUAAGGGAAGAAAUUUGACGGUACCUUAUGAAUAAGCACCGGCUAACUCCGUGCCAGCAGCCGCGGUAAUACGGGGGGUGCAAGCGUUACUCGGAAUCACUGGGCGUAAAGGGAGCGUAGGCGUUCUAUUAAGUCUUGAGUGAAAGCCUGCAGCCUAACUGCAGAACUGCUUGGGAAACUGAUAGAAUUGAGUAUGGAAGAGGUCAGUGGAAUUUCCGGUGUAGGGGUAAAAUCCGUAGAUAUCGGAAGGAAUACCAGAAGCGAAGGCGACUGACUGGGACAUUACUGACGCUGAGGCUCGAAAGCGUGGGGAGCAAACA
This 403-nucleotide ribosomal RNA is filed under the name uncultured bacterium. Its description in RNAcentral is "bacterial SSU rRNA". It matches the Rfam family "Bacterial small subunit ribosomal RNA", at positions 355 to 774 of the family's 1533-position model. The record is from RNAcentral.